Molecule: long non-coding RNA, 482 nt
Filed under: Calidris pugnax (ruff)
Lineage: Eukaryota; Metazoa; Chordata; Aves; Charadriiformes; Scolopacidae
Description: lncRNA (ENSCPUG00000004976.1)
Source: RNAcentral
GCCCUCAACCAAAUAAGAAACUAGGAGAACCAUGCUUAUCUGGAUACUGAAGAGUGAUUUGUCAUUAUUCAAAAGCCACCCAAGGAAAAAGGCCAUAUAAAUGAACCACAGCUAGUGGUCACUUGCUGUUCUUACCACCCUGAGAUAAACCUGGCUCACCAGCACAGAGCUGUGGGAGAGAAAUGGAACAGCUCUUCAGGUACCACAAACUGCUCCAACAGCUGCACUGCAUCUGCUUUGCCAGAAGAAAACAGGGGAGGAAACCUCUUCUGGCAGCCUUGGCUACUACCUGCAUGCAAAACUGAUUCUGUCUGGGAGAGACAGUUGGAAAACUGAGAGCUGUGGGAAGAUCUGUUUCAUGCCUGGAGGUCGACACCACUAGGUUCCCAAGAAAAAAACACGUCUCUUAACUGCUUGCUUCCUUCCAGGAACCAGCAAAUUUCUUUGUUGCAAAUGGCCUGCUUGCUGCUACACUUCUUAAG